GCAAGAUGGCGGAGGUGGGAGGCAGCGGCAGCGUAGAGAUCGCUGUCGGGGAGAAUCACCUGAUGGGCUGCUGGGGCUCCCAUUGGACAGGUGUGCCCCCUCUCCACAGAUCGCUGUCGGGGAGAAUCACCUGAUGGGCUGCUGGGGCUCCCAUUGGACAGGUGUGCCCCCUCUCCACAGAUCGCUGUCGGGGAGAAUCACCUGAUGGGCUGCUGGGGCUCCCAUUGGACAGGUGUGCCCCCUCUCCACAGUGUCGUCAGUUGCACGCGAGAAGUAGCGAAUAAUGAUGAUAAUAAUAAAGAAGCGAAUAACGGCCUAACAACACACGACAACCUCCAACAAGACUUCAAUUCCCAACGCGCUUCGGUACCGAGGAAGGAUCGAAGCUUUGGUGCAGUUCGGUGGUCGUUCCCGCGCGAGCCAGGAAGAGCGGGAGAGAAGGGACAAAGUCUAAUUAUAACAAGUCUGUUCACGCGCAGAAGAUGCGUGGCAGAGAGGUGACGUCACACUGCCUCGGUGGGUCCGAUGACAGAAAACGGAGUAAUUGAUGGGCGACUGGUAUGCAGAGUGACGUCACACAGCCUCGGUGGGUCCGAUAACAAAACGGAGUAAUUGAUGGGUGACGUUUUUUUUUUUUUUUUU
Molecule: long non-coding RNA, 642 nt
Organism: Eriocheir sinensis (Chinese mitten crab)
Lineage: Eukaryota; Metazoa; Arthropoda; Malacostraca; Decapoda; Varunidae
Exons: 5
Source: RefSeq, a predicted model, not a curated record